This 478-nucleotide ribosomal RNA is filed under the name uncultured bacterium. RNAcentral's name for it is "partial 16S ribosomal RNA". It matches the Rfam family "Bacterial small subunit ribosomal RNA", at positions 28 to 507 of the family's 1533-position model. The record is from RNAcentral.
GACGAACGCUGGCGGCGUGCUUAACACAUGCAAGUCGAACGGGAUUUAGUAAACAGAAACCUCGGUGGAAGAUUACUAAUGAGAGUGGCGAACGGGUGAGUAACGCGUGAGCAACCUGCCUAUGACAGUGGGAUAGCCUCGGGAAACCGGGAUUAAUACCGCAUAAAAUCGUAGAAACACAUGUUUUAACGGUCAAAGAUUUAUCGGUCAUAGAUGGGCUCGCGUCUGAUUAGCUAGUUGGGGAGAUAACAGCCCACCAAGGCGACGAUCAGUAGCCGGUCUGAGAGGAUGAACGGCCACAUUGGAACUGAGACACGGUCCGAACUCCUACGGAAGGCAGCAGUGGGGAAUAUUGCACAAUGGGGGAAACCCUGAUGCAGCGACGCCGCGUGAACGAAGAAGGUAUUCGUAUCGUAAAGUUCUGUCCUAUGGGAAGAUAAUGACAGUACCAUAGAAGAAAGCUCCGGCUAAAUACGUG